GAGAGAAUCGGGAGGAAAAAGGAGGGAAGGGAGACGCGGGGGAUCGGGACCAGGACGUGGGUGACCCGACCCGGUUCGGCGGCACACACAUAUUCCGACGAGAUUUCAACCCCUUUUCCGGCAAAUUGGGUCAAACAACCACUUGGAAACACUCCCAUAACCUUCCCUCUUCAUGUUUCACCCCAAAAAUCUCGAGAAUUAGUGACGGUUUGGUGGAAAACGCACCCGUGGUGCCGCGAGUUUGUGUUAGAAAUCCUCCCGUUUUUGAAGCAAUUUUUCCCAAUUACUACCACCCCUACCUUCCUCUUGAGUCCUAGAACAAAUCCCAAACGAUUUUGGGAGCGGCGGAUCUGUUUUGGAGACGGAUCGAAGACACCCAAAAACAAGGGUUCCGUACGGUUUUAGUGAAAUUGAGGUGUUUCCCGGACAUUGGACUUGGCCACAGGUAUAAAGUUUGCUCUACUCUUUGAGAUCUUCAUUUCUGUAAUUUGUGGUAAUUUUUAAAAAUAGUUGAAUUUAAAGUCGGGCGGCCGACCGCCACCCGCCGCGGCGCGUGCGGCGGCGGCCUGGCCAGCGGGCCGACGAUGUCCUUUUAAGUUCAAUUGGAUGCUCUGAUUUCAUAACUGACAUCCUUAUGAUAUGGUUUGAUUGUUUGGACCUAAUUUCAUUACGAUAUGUGGUUAGGUCAAAAUGUGAUUCGACGAUCCGACCAUUGGAUCGUCACCAAACUUUAAUGCGUCAUAGAAUGUAAUAAUUGAGGAUAGUUGGAACUGACGGAUUGGGAAUCUGGCAUACGGAUCUUCCUAAUUUGGAUUUCUAAGUUUGUAAAAUCAAACGUUGGUCGCCACUUGAAAUUGUAAUUAGCGGGGAUCUGAACGUCAGAUCAUGAUGAAAUUUUGGUAGGUUGUUUUAGAAGCAUAAUGUGGACUUUAGAAGGUUACAGAUCUGAAAUCCAAUGUGCAGAUCUUCCAUAUUGAUUGUGUAGAAUUGCGGAUCCUACCUUUGACGGGGAGUUGACUUUUGGUCAACAUGUCUCCAAACUUCUUAAUACUAAAUUUAGUACUACGAGAGACUUAAGUGAAGUCUAGUGGGCCUACAUUGGUUGGAGAGUGACUUUAAUAUUGGUGAUAUGGUGAUUACUUUAAUUGUUUAUGUUGAAAUCAUUUAUGAAUAUGAAUUAGUCUUAUAAAUAUGAUUUCUAUUGAAAUGUGAUUUUCAUAUAUUUAGCCAUAGACUUAUGUUUAUUAAACAUGAUUGGCUUGUGUACUGAUGAUAAUGGUGAAUAUGUGUGUUUAAUUAUUUCUAGUAAUGCGAAUGAUAAGUAUGGUAGAUUUUAUGGCAAUGUGAUCUUAGAAUUCUAUUAGAAGUAUUUUGUAGAACUCAUAUGCUUGUGAGACCUAUUAGUUGGUGGUCAUGAGAAGUGGAUAUGGUAGGUGACUACGUUGUAAGUAUAGAAGGGAUGAGGGUUAGAUAUACUUGGUACAUUCAGUGGGUACCAUAUUCACAUGGAUUCCGUUGAGUGAGGUUCCGGAAUCGUGUUGUUGUUUGAAUUCCGUUGAGUGAUGUUCCGGAAUUGUAUCGUUGGGUGGAUUCCGUUGAGUGAUGUUCCGGAUCGUUGGUUGGAUUUCGUUGAGUGAUCUUCCGGAAUCGUAUUGUUGGUUGGAUUUCGUUGAGUGAUGUUCCGGAAUCGUAUUCACCUUGGAUUUUAUUGAGUUUAGAUUGACAUAACUCCAGAGAUGUAGGCUUCAGCCGAAUUGUGUUGCUCUAGCUCGGCAUUUCGAUGAAUUGUAUGUGUUAUUGAUGAUAUGGUUAUUGGCAUUAUUGAUUGAUGUGAUAAUUGGAUGGUGUUGGAAUGCAUAUGUGAGGAUGAAUGACGUUAUGACUAGAGAUUAUUAUUCUGCUUAUUUAAAUGUUCCUUGUGGUGCCACAUAAUUGAAUUGUGGUAUUAUGUUGAGAUCUAGUAGUCUAUGUAAUGAAUGUUCGAGAGUAGUGAAAUGGUGAACUACGAAUGGCUUGAUCCCUAUUGAGGGUAUGUAGGCAAUCUAACGAGAAUGUUAGAUGCAGCCAUAAAGCAGACGAAAAAUUACUAUGAAAUUUGGACCUUGAGUGGUCAUAUUUCAUAUCUUGGAGGCGGAGUAUGUUAGAAGUUCGAGUUUUCAGUGACGUCACGUGUCGAUCCUGGGCGUAGGUCGGGAUCGGGGCGUGACAGGCGACAUACGCCAAACCAACAUAUGCAGUUACAAAAAAAUGGAAACUAGACAAGGUUGUAACUCCAAUUAAGAAUGCAUUACAUUAUGUGUCAAUGUUUACUUAUUACAUUAAUUAUUAGGCUGACCGGUUAUGGGAGUUUUGGCCAGUUUUGUAAUUUUGAUCCGAAACUUAGUACAACUUCAAAGAUCCCUAAUGUUUUAUUUAAUAAAUCUUUCCAUGCACAUCAUGUAAUACAACAAGUUUUAGGGACUAAUUAAAUAGAGAAAAUGCGGUAAUCACAAAGGGGAUCAAUCAAAAUGGCUUAAUUGUAUCAACUAGUGAAGUUAUUUAAAGUAUUUAUAAUCAUUUUUCAAAACACUAAUCAUUGAUCGUCUAGUUAAAGAAGAAGAGGAUGUGAAAUCGACAAAACGUGAACACAACACUGUCACAUGAGCUGCUUGUUGGCCAUGAUAAGAGUAGUUAAUCUAUAUGGAUGUGUACAGAUUAUCAAUUAGGUUUAUUCUUUAGAUUUUUACAGAGCAAUGCCUACAUGUACAUUUACGAUAUACAGUUUGACAAUAUAACAUGUCAAAUCCGACAAACAAAUUAUUCUGAUUUUUAAAUUGUAGCAUCCUUGUUAUUCUCGCAUUAAUUUGUACAAGUUGAAAAAUGUGCAUGUUUUUGUUUCCCCACUUUGUACAAUUUGACAAAUUGAAAACAUAAACUUGCAGACCAACUGAUUUCUAAAUUGUAUUUGUUGGGGUCGUACCUAAUGGGGCCGGGCACAGUAGGACCAGUGUGGCAAUUUUACAAUAUCAUACAAAUACAGUGUCAUGUUUGUCACAAAAAAAUAAAAAGGAAAAAUCAUCGUUUUUCUACUCUCAAACUAUUGGCAUCUCUCAGUGUCUCCGUCGUCUUCUGAUUUUCCUCCGAAUCGGAGAAGAAAGGCAACCAAAUCAUGGUCCUCCGAAUUCGUGGUUUUUUUUUAUUCUUCCCGGCGCUCCUUACGCGUACUGCAGCCUGAGCGCGCGGCGCUCUCGAUUGAUUCCGUGGUCUGAUCUUCCGCGAAUCGCAAUCCGACGGUGGCGAUGGCGUCGACGCAGAACCAGUCGGCGAAUGUGGAUCUCUUCGAUGCGUAUUUCCGACGGGCCGAUUUGGACCGCGAUGGCCGGAUUAGUGGCAAUGAAGCCGUCGCUUUCUUCCAGGGCUCUGGUUUCCCAAACAGGUCCUUGCGCAGUUGUAUUUAGAUUUGAAGUUGUUCAGGCAGAACCAACUCUGAGCCCUUUUCAGCAAUCGAGCAUCGACUGGAAGACUUGCUGAGUGUUACAGUACCUGUAUCAGUAUCAAUAUCCGAACCAUCUAUACAGAGUGAAAUUUCAAUUUCACACAGGUCACUUGCAUUAGAUGUCCUUUCAGCUGAAGCACCACUUGAAGAUAUCCCAUUUGCAGUAGGGGAAAGCACUUCAGGUUGUUGAAUGCUACUAAUGUUUCCCUGUUUGAGUUGCUUAGUCUUCCCGAUAACCUUUCUCCUCGUCUGUCCAGAUGUAAUCCACGAAGAUAACCCCACAGCUCCAAGUAGCGGCAGCACAAUACGAUAAUCUUGUGUCAAUUCAAAAAGCAACAGACUCCUGCAAGACUAGCACCCAUUCCAACCUGAAAAUGGAAUCUCACCGAUUGUCAACUCCAUCCAGAUUUUGGGAUACCUUCAGAAUUUAGCAGACAAAUACCAGAAACCAUAUUCAGUAAAGGCAAAUCACAUUACCAGGAGCACGUAAAUACUCCGAGAUCACAUACUGAUGCCAUAGUCAAUUGCAGAAAUUAUUUA
This is a non-coding RNA of Malus domestica (apple), 4015 nucleotides long. NCBI's taxonomy places the organism in Eukaryota, Viridiplantae, Streptophyta, Magnoliopsida, Rosales, Rosaceae. The record is from RefSeq and is a predicted model, not a curated record.